This is a long non-coding RNA of Marmota monax (woodchuck), 1005 nucleotides long. RefSeq lists it as uncharacterized. The record is from RefSeq and is a predicted model, not a curated record. Lineage: Eukaryota; Metazoa; Chordata; Mammalia; Rodentia; Sciuridae. The transcript has 3 exons.
CAGGAAAUUUAGAAUAAAAAAACUCAUUUAUCUUUGUCUCUUUUUUUUGCCGCUUAAAGGCGUUUAUAAAAAUUUGAAGAGGUCUGAUUUCAGGUACAAUGGAGUAAGUGUACUCCUACACCCUGUUUCUCCCACAGAACGAACCUCUAGAACUGGGCAGGAUUGUGCGGAACAUCUGAAGACUUGAAAAAGAAAAUAGAGAAGACCAGAAUGGAAAAAAGAAGAGUCCUCAAAUAUCAGCAAGAGAAAAAUCCAAUUUUCAAAUGGAUGAAAGACUUAAACAGAUUCUUCACCAAAGAGCAGUUUCUCUCAAGGUGGGUCUUUCCCCUGCUGAGACCUCCACCAGACUGGAGAUAAAGAAGCAAUGGGAUCACAGGAACAGCAUCAACCUGCGUGUUUAGGCUGUAUGAUCUCACACUCCAGGCAGAAGUUUAUUGGAAGAAUGGACACCUGACACAAAUUGGGCUAAUCAGCUAUUCUGUUCAAGAAUCUUCAGGAAAAAAACUCUCCAUAUAGAUGGAAGAACUCAGGAAGUGAACUCAGGAACUGAACUAAUUUUUGUACCCUACAUGCGUUGAGAGGCAAAGGAGCUUAGUCUAUAGAGAAAUUUACUUAUUGAAGUUGUCUGAAUUUGGAAUGGCUUUUUGGUCUUGGGUUCCAGUCUCUCCUGAGCACCAGGUAAAUUCUUGUGCUCAGGUCUCAUGAGAUAACCCCUGUUUUCUUACAAUAAAUACCACACACCCCCACCACCACAUACACACACCACACUAAUUUUUGUUGUUGUUGUUGAUUUAAGCAUAUUCAAGUUAUUUUGUUACUUGUAGCCAGAGUAUUAACAAAUACAAUACCUAAUGCAUAUAAUCCUAAUUCCCAUUUACCACAUAUGAAUUACUGUGUGCAAAGUUCAUGUGAAUUGUCUUGUUUAAUCCUCUCAACUCUACUAAAAAAUUGUUUUCUCAUGAUUCAGAUCCUUCUUGACUUAAGUGUUUCUUCCAAUAAAUCUAA